GAUGAACGCUAGCGGCAGGCUUAAUACAUGCAAGUCGUGGGGCAGCAGGUUUGUAGCAAUACAGAUGCUGGCGACCGGCAAACGGGUGCGGAACACGUACAGAACCUUCCUUGAGCGGGGAAUAGCCCAGAGAAAUUUGGAUUAAAUACCCCAUAGUAUAAUGAAGUGGCAUCACUUUAUUAUUAAAGAUUUAUCACUCGAAGAUGGCUGUGCGGCUGAUUAGGUAGUUGGCGGGGUAAAGGCCCACCAAGCCUGCGAUCAGUAACUGGUGUGAGAGCACGACCAGUCACACGGGCACUGAGACACGGGCCCGACUCCUACGGGAGGCAGCAGUAAGGAAUAUUGGUCAAUGGAGGCAACUCUGAACCAGCCAUGCCGCGUGGAGGAUGAAGGUCCUCUGGAUUGUAAACUUCUUUUAUAUGGGACGAAAAAAGGCUUUUCUAAGUCGUCUGACGGUACCAUAUGAAUAAGCACCGGCUAACUCCGUGCCAGCAGCCGCGGUAA
This 504-nucleotide ribosomal RNA is filed under the name uncultured bacterium. RNAcentral's name for it is "bacterial SSU rRNA". It matches the Rfam family "Bacterial small subunit ribosomal RNA", at positions 28 to 523 of the family's 1533-position model. The record is from RNAcentral.